UCAGCCCAUGCCCCCACUGGCCACUACCGCUCUGUUCCUCCAACCAUCCGCUUGCGCCCACGCGCUCGCUCGUUGAGCCGUCGCGACGGCCGCGCCCUCUAGUCGCUCGACGAAACGCCGCCGAGCCACUGACGCGUCCGCUGCACGCGUAGUCGCGCUUCCAUCUUCCCUCCGCCUCGCCGCAGUUCCCAUCCGGAGGGAGGCCACCGAUCCAUGUCCGUCGCCAAGCGCUACGUGCUGCGCCUCUUCAUCUCGCUCAAGUACGUGACGGCGAACGUGGUGGACCGGCAGAGCGGCCGCAUCGUGACGACCGCCUCGACCGCGGAGCGGCCCCUGCGAGACGGGCUGGAGUGCGGCCGCGCCUGCAACGCCAAGGCGGCGGCAGCCGUCGGCGAGGUGCUCGCCAUGCGCCUCAAGGUGGACGGCCUCGCGCGGGAGCCCAUAUACGCCAACGCGGAGAAAGAGGUCGCGAAGAAAGGGUUCAAGAACCAGACCAAGGUCUGGGCCAUCCUCAACGCGCUGCGCAGUCACGGGGUUAACCUCCACGUCGACGACGAUGGCGACCACAGGCCGCACGUCUGAAACAACCAUCAGUUCACCAGUUGGUUCCUCGAACUCACAAAAAUAUCAGACAAAGGAGGAAAUAAACCAGUACUUCACCAAAAGGUCAUGCAGGAUAAGUGCCCUAUUGGGGAGGAAAUUGACACCUAAUGGUGUUUUGGUAGUCAAAAGGGAGCACAGGCUGUCAUGGUCUGGCUGAACUCCUGAUGGUACCAAAGCCCAGGGCAUGCCAUCUUGUAAUGGUGGAGCAGAGGGUGUAGGGUGCCCACCUUGUGAGCUGCUUCCUAGAACCAAUAUCAUUUUCUGCAAACAAGUACAGUUGUUAGUUUCAGUUUUGGAAAUCAUGCUUAAGGAGGAACCAUGGACCGUUACACAUAGUUAACCAGUCUAUGUCUGCUGCGCAGCUUUGUCAGAUUUUGACAUGGUUUUGUAGUCUAACGCCAUUUAAUCUUCUGAUAACGUGCUUUGAUCUGUGUCAAAGCACUUUCAUUCUAUUCGGCAUACUGUACACGUCGUAGUCGAAUGGAUAUCAAAGUAUUCAUAUUGAAAGAUAUUCAUCUAGAAAA
Sorghum bicolor (sorghum) is the source of this 1127-nucleotide RNA transcript. RefSeq lists it as uncharacterized. Lineage: Eukaryota; Viridiplantae; Streptophyta; Magnoliopsida; Poales; Poaceae. The record is from RefSeq and is a predicted model, not a curated record. The transcript has 3 exons.